CUGAGACUGAAAAAUAUUCCUCCUUAAAAAAUGGAGCGUGUUUGAGGCGCCGGUGUUCUGGAGAGGACUGGUGGGCAGAGGGCCUGGGAGGAGCGUCAGACCCGGAUGCCUGAAGGCAGAGUUGGCAGUCCGAGGCACCAGCUACUGCUGAAGGUCAGCAAAAGGCAGCAGCUGAAGACGAGAGAGUUAUCUGCAAGUCUGAGUAAGGGACAGGCAGAGCCGCCAGAACUCUACUCCUAGUGCCAAGAAGCAGGGCUGCAUCGUGCUGGAGUAUCAAGCAAGCACCUGAAAACUGAAUGGCAAAAAGCAAACAGUACUGCCAGACUGCAUUCCAGAAUCAAGAGAGAGUGGCCAAGAUCAGGUUCCAGUUCAGUUUCUGGAGCAGAUAAGAUUCCAUGAGCUGCAUGAAUCUUGGAGAUUCAGAAGAUGGUCUCAGCCGGCAAGAUUGGUCAUGGCCAUUGGCUUUUUCUGAAGCAGCAGUCCAGCGUCAGUCAUCAGCAAAAUGGUGACAAGAGACAGCUUCACUGGCUUUGUGAUCCCUGGAUCUCAUCUAAAUUGACGUUCUUAAAGUCAGCAGUUUCAGUGAUGGCUCCCUGAUUCUCCACCUUCCUGACUGUGGUAGGAGAGCAGUUCCCCUGCUGGGCUCAUUCUGUCGUGUUGUUCUCGAUGCUAUUUCUGGAAGCCUAACUCAGAGCUUUCCAGUCCUUCCAGGAUUGUGCGAACUCCUUGUUUCCU
Long non-coding RNA from Equus caballus (horse), 735 nucleotides. The record is from Ensembl. Lineage: Eukaryota; Metazoa; Chordata; Mammalia; Perissodactyla; Equidae.